This 547-nucleotide ribosomal RNA is filed under the name uncultured bacterium. Its description in RNAcentral is "bacterial SSU rRNA". It matches the Rfam family "Bacterial small subunit ribosomal RNA", at positions 355 to 896 of the family's 1533-position model. The record is from RNAcentral.
UGGGGAAUAUUGCGCAAUGGGGGGAACCCUGACGCAGCCAUGCCGCGUGAAUGAAGAAGGCCUUCGGGUUGUAAAGUUCUUUCGGUAUUGAGGAAGGUUGAUGUGUUAAUAGCACAUCAAAUUGACGUUAAAUACAGAAGAAGCACCGGCUAACUCCGUGCCAGCAGCCGCGGUAAUACGGAGGGUGCGAGCGUUAAUCGGAAUAACUGGGCGUAAAGGGCACGCAGGCGGUUAUUUAAGUGAGGUGUGAAAGCCCCGGGCUUAACCUGGGAAUUGCAUUUCAGACUGGGUAACUAGAGUACUUUAGGGAGGGGUAGAAUUCCACGUGUAGCGGUGAAAUGCGUAGAGAUGUGGAGGAAUACCGAAGGCGAAGGCAGCCCCUUGGGAAUGUACUGACGCUCAUGUGCGAAAGCGUGGGGAGCAAACAGGAUUAGAUACCCUGGUAGUCCACGCUGUAAACGCUGUCGAUUUGGGGGUUGGGGUUUAACUCUGGCGCCCGUAGCUAACGUUAUAAAUCGACCGCCUGGGGAGUACGGCCGCAAGGUUA